Molecule: ribosomal RNA, 570 nt
Filed under: Vibrio sp. BKW
Lineage: Bacteria; Pseudomonadati; Pseudomonadota; Gammaproteobacteria; Vibrionales; Vibrionaceae
Description: bacterial SSU rRNA
Rfam family: Bacterial small subunit ribosomal RNA
Source: RNAcentral
GGGUGAAUCGAAAAUGGGCAAAUGCGUGGGGCAGGCAUGCCGCGCGUGUGAAUUAAGGCCUUCGGGAAUGUCAAGUACUUUCAGUCGUGAGGAAGGCGGUGUCGUUAAUAGCGGCAUCGUUUGACGUUAGCGACAGAAGAAGCACCGGCUAACUCCGUGCCAGCAGCCGCGGUAAUACGGAGGGUGCGAGCGUUAAUCGGAAUUACUGGGCGUAAAGCGCAUGCAGGUGGUUUGUUAAGUCAGAUGUGAAAGCCCGGGGCUCAACCUCGGAAUAGCAUUUGAAACUGGCAGACUAGAGUACUGUAGAGGGGGGUAGAAUUUCAGGUGUAGCGGUGAAAUGCGUAGAGAUCUGAAGGAAUACCGGUGGCGUAUGCGGCCCCCUGGACAGAUACUGACACUCAGAUGCGAAAGCGUGGGGAGCAAACAGGAUUAGAUACCCUGGUAGUCCACGCCGUAAACGAUGUCUACUUGGAGGUUGUGGCCUUGAGCCGUGGCUUUCGGAGCUAACGCGUUAAGUAGACCGCCUGGGGAGUACGGUCGCAAGAUUAAAACUCAAAUGAAUUGACGGGG